RNAcentral lists this ribosomal RNA (520 nucleotides) under uncultured Glomus. RNAcentral's name for it is "SSU rRNA". It matches the Rfam family "Eukaryotic small subunit ribosomal RNA", at positions 569 to 1092 of the family's 1831-position model. Lineage: Eukaryota; Fungi; Glomeromycota; Glomeromycetes; Glomerales; Glomeraceae. The record is from RNAcentral.
AGCAGCCGCGGUAAUUCCAGCUCCAAUAGCGUAUAUUAAAGUUGUUGCAGUUAAAAAGCUCGUAGUUGAAUUUCGGGGUUAGUAGGUUGGUCAUGCCUCUGGUAUGUACUGGUCUCACUGAUUCCUCCUUCCUGAUGAAUCUUAAUGCCAUUAAUUUGGUGUUUUGGGGAAUUUGGACUGUUACUUUGAAAAAUUAGAGUGUUUAAAGCAAGCUAACGCUUGAAUACAUUAGCAUGGAAUAAUGAAAUAGGACGUUCGAUCCUAUUUUGUUGGUUUCUAGGAUUGACGUAAUGAUUAAUAGGGAUAGUUGGGGGCAUUAGUAUUCAAUUGUCAGAGGUGAAAUUCUUGGAUUUAUUGAAGACUAACUACUGCGAAAGCAUUUGCCAAGGAUGUUUUCAUUAAUCAAGAACGAAAGUUAGGGGAUCGAAGACGAUCAGAUACCGUCGUAGUCUUAACCAUAAACUAUGCCGACUAGGGAUCGGAUGAUGUUAAUUUUUAAUGACUCAUUCGGCGCCUUAAC